This 338-nucleotide unclassified non-coding RNA is filed under the name soil metagenome. RNAcentral's name for it is "partial contains 5.8S ribosomal RNA, internal transcribed spacer 2, and large subunit ribosomal RNA". The stretch from base 1 to 121 matches the Rfam family "5.8S ribosomal RNA", at positions 35 to 154 of the family's 154-position model. The record is from RNAcentral.
GAUGAAGAACGCAGUGAAAUGCGAUAAGUAAUGCGAAUUGCAGAAUUCCAGUGAGUCAUCGAAUCUUUGAACGCACAUUGCGCCCCUUGGUAUUCCAUGGGGCAUGCCUGUUCGAGCGUCAUUUGUACCUUCAAGCUCUGCUUGGUGUUGGGUGUUUGUCUCGCCUCUGCGUGUAGACUCGCCUCAAAAUAAUUGGCAGCCGGCGUAUUGAUUUCGGAGCGCAGUACAUCUCGCGCUUUGCACUCAUAACGACGACGUCCAAAAGUACAUUUUUACACUCUUGACCUCGGAUCAGGUAGGGAUACCCGCUGAACUUAAGCAUAUCAAUAAGCGGAGGA